UCAAUUGAGAGUUUGAUCCUGGCUCAGGAUGAACGCUGGCGGCGUGCCUAACACAUGCAAGUCGAGCGAGAAGCUUCCAAGCGAGAUUUCGGUCGAGCGAAGGAGCGGAAAGCGGCGGACGGGUGAGUAACGCGUAGGCAACCUGCCCCAUACUCGGGGACAGCCUCGGGAAACCGGGAUUAAUACCCGAUAAAGCGAUUUCGUCGCAUGACGGAAACGCCAAAGAUUCAUCGGUAUGGGAUGGACCUGCGUCCGAUUAGCCUGUUGGUGAGGUAACGGCUCACCAAAGCAACGAUCGGUAGCCGACCCGAGAGGGUGAUCGGCCACAUUGGAACUGAGACACGGUCCAAACUCCUACGGGAGGCAGCAGUGGGGAAUAUUGCACAAUGGGCGAAAGCCUGAUGCAGCAACGCCGCGUGAGCGAAGGAGGCCCUACGGGUCGUAAAGCUCUGUCCUUGGGGAAGAAGGAAGUGACGGUACCCGAGGAGGAAGCCCCGGCUAACUACGUGCCAGCAGCCGCGGUAAUACGUAGGGGGCGAGCGUUAUCCGGAAUUAUUGGGCGUAAAGAGUGCGUAGGUGGCUUUGCAAGCGCAGGGUAUAAGGCAACGGCUCAACCGUUGUUUGCCUUGCGAACUGUAUGGCUUGAGUGCGGGAGAGGAAAGCGGAAUUCCCAGUGUAGCGGUGAAAUGCGUAGAUAUUGGGAGGAACACCGGUGGCGAAGGCGGCUUUCUGGACCGUAACUGACACUGAGGCACGAAAGCGUGGGGAGCAAACAGGAUUAGAUACCCUGGUAGUCCACGCCGUAAACGAUGAGCGCUAGGUGUCGGGGCCGCAAGGUUUCGGUGCCGCAGUUAACGC
This 858-nucleotide ribosomal RNA is filed under the name Eubacteriales Family XIII. Incertae Sedis bacterium. RNAcentral describes it as "partial 16S ribosomal RNA". It matches the Rfam family "Bacterial small subunit ribosomal RNA", at positions 1 to 858 of the family's 1533-position model. Lineage: Bacteria; Bacillati; Bacillota; Clostridia; Peptostreptococcales; Anaerovoracaceae. The record is from RNAcentral.